This 360-nucleotide ribosomal RNA is filed under the name Triticum aestivum (bread wheat). Its description in RNAcentral is "partial small subunit ribosomal RNA". The record is from RNAcentral. Lineage: Eukaryota; Viridiplantae; Streptophyta; Magnoliopsida; Poales; Poaceae.
AUGCAAGACUACUUCGCGGACAAUCCAACAUAUCUGUCGCACCUCUUCCGGAGAAGGUACCGAAUGCGCCGAUCCCUCUUGGUAAAAAUAGUUCAAGCUUGCAAAGCCAAUUGUCGGUAUUUUACACAAAGAAGAAAUGCAACGGGAUUGAAGGGAUUUAGUGCAUAUCAAAAAAUCUCGGCAGCUAUGCGGGUAAUUGCAUACGGCAUUCCGGCUGACUAUGCCGAUGAGUACCUUCGCAUUGGUGAAGAUACUACAAUUGAGUCAGUGAGUAGGCUUGCCAAAGUGAUCAUCCGUGUCUUUGGUUCUGAAUAUCUUCGGUCACCCAACAAGGAAGACAAAAAAAUUGAUGGCAUCUAA